AUAUCCGUUACGUAAAAAAUUAAUACUAGUAUACAAUAGAGAGGACCUUGGGUUUGUUUCAAUGUCUCAAUCGUAAUCCACAGCAAAACAACCCUGGGGAGGCAGAGCCCCACCGCUGGGGAGCCGCAGCCCCACGGGUGCCCUGCUGCGUGCCCUACCGGGCUCACACAAAGUAGGAAAGUAACAGUUCCUUUAGGCUGGAAGAUUCCAAACGAGAAAGGGCUUGAAUUACAAAAAGAAAAGAGAAGCCAUUUCAGCACAGUAUUUUAGCACACAGAAAACGGAUGUACUAAGUGGAGCUAGUUGAACUUUGUUAAUGGCAGUCACCAUCAUGAACAUUAGCUUCGGGCCUUAUGAGUAGCCUCAGAGGAUAAUCAGGAGUAUAAUAUCUUGCAGUGUGAGGAGGUUGUGGAUGACUGGUCUAAUAAGGAUGCGAACGGAAAAGAGAACCAUUUUUUUCAAAAUGGGUGACCUGUUAGAGAUCUUCUGUUAGCCAGGAAAAAGAAAGUGGAGGGGAGGGAGUGCCAGUCUCUGCUUUUAACCUUCUCUUAAGAGUAGCAAGGGUUAUGAUGGGCAUGUGGGAGAUGGAUCUCUGCCCCCACUCUGCCCCCAGCUACCUUUACUCCCUAAGUUACUCAGACCCCUCAGUGUGUUUGGAAACAAAUCAAAAUGCACCACCUCACUUCGGCAGGGAGAAGAAAAAGGAAAAAAAAAAGGGAAAAAACCCCAGACGUGCCUCUCAGACUAUCGGUGAUAUUACAGUUUAGACUGUCUCCUGAUGUUGUCACACAGUUUAAACAGAAAGAAUGGCAAAACUGGAACCACAUGAAGCCAUACCUGAAAGUGCCCCUAGAGCAGCUACCCAAACCCACUCUUCAAGUUCACUGUCCCAAAAAUGCAGUAGUUAAAUCUUUAACCAUCACAAUGAAGAUGCCAAGCUAAUACAUCCUUCCUAAGUGUUAGUUGUCCAAAGUAUGAAAAUAUGCAAACAGAACUUGUUGCUGGACUAGCAAAUUCAAGGUUAAUUUGCAGAGCCAUACAGAGAGCUUUGAAAAUGUGAUUUAAAAAUGAAAUGGAAGAUGUAGGGCAUUUUGUAUUAAUUCAGACAAGAAAUACUAAAGAGUAAAUACAUUUGAGACACUGAUACAAAUAAGAGUGCUGCUUUCUAAGCUCUCGCUAGAUUAACUUCAGUUUUCCAGCUUACUGAGCCUUGACAUUGCAUACCCUUAAGAUCUGUAAAUCUUUUAAGGUGCUUUACCAUUUUCUUAAGGGAGUCACACAUUUGCAAAAUUCACUAUCAGACAAAUGUAUCUGUCUGGAUGUAAAGGUUGUAUUUCAAUAGGAAUCAUAUACAUCGCUUCAGUUCUUGGUUUAAUGAUACCUGAUCCAGUCCAGCUAAUUAUAGGUAAUUUUGGCUAGGGUAAUGAGUAGCCAGAAGUUCAGGUAGUUCUGCGGGCAGUUCUCACAGCACCUUAUUUCAUGUCCAGUGAGCUAAGGACACUUGCUGAGAGUGCAGAACAUGUCUUGAAAAAUGAGAUACUGGUUUAUAUGUAUCAAGUUACUUCAGGGAUUCAAGGAAAGCACAUCAUGAAGGUAUUAAUUUGUCAACCCCUUUCUUUCCGAGAAGCUAUUAAUUUUUGAUUUGUUAAUAUUAUGUUAGUGUUUACAGUUUUCCUAAAGAAAAUAAUAUCAGGACUUCUCCUACCCUUUAGAAAUAAUCUUAUUAUUUAUUGUGAUUAAGAAGGUUUAAAUGUAGCAAUCUAUGCCCACUUAAUUUAUUGGAUCAUUUCAUUCUAUUCCAUUUUCUCUAUACUGUUAUCUUACUUGUACAUUCUAAACAGGUAUUGCAGAUAAAGCUGAGGAAAAUUGCACCUAUUUUCUGCCCUAUUUGCUAAUAUAAUAUUUACACCACUGUUGUAACUAGCUAACCCAUUAUCAUGAACUUCAUCUGUUUACAUCAGGUCUUAAUUUUAUCAUUUUCUGUAACUGGCUGUGCUGAUUAAUUUAACAGUGUAAGGUGUGUCUGAUUACUUCCUUUGGAAGACAGAGAUUAUGACUGCAUCUACUGUAAGCAUGAAUCUCAGGAAGUGUUUUAUUCAACAUAUAAUGCUUGUUGUAGCUGUACUUUAGAGCUGGAGUUUUUUGUUAGAUUCAGUAUCUUGAUUUUUCACCUCUGUAGUCCUGUCCUUAUUUGCUUGGCUUUAUAUUUAGAGGUUAACCACAACAAAUGUUUAAUGCUAGAGAAUUUUAGUGUAACUGAAAAGAUGCAAUAUGGGUAAAGUGAAUUGAUCUCUUUUCUAGCACAGGUUAUAUAUGAGGUUUAAAUCUACCCAUAAAGAAGAUGUGGGAGGGGAAAACAGUGGUUUAUAAUUAACUCCGUUAAAGAGUGGGCUUUAGCAAAUAACACAGGCAGAAUGGAAAAAUACCUCUCUAUGCAGGGAGAGUUCUCUGCCAGAAUAGCAAAGAAACCUAUUUUAUUAUUUUUUUUUUAGCUUUGCCAAGAUCUAGAAGGUUUCAAUCUCUUAGUAAUGUAAAAGUUAAAUUAGUGUGACUUCUUCGAGUGUACAUUUAAUAAGAGUUGUCCCAGAGAGGCCAGGGAGCAAGGUGUAUGCUGACUCUCCUGUCUUUGCACAUACUCGUGCCUACUUCAGCCAAGCAGACUAGUCCAAAAGAGGCCCAUUUGUAGAGCAAAAGUUGCGUGGAUGUCAAAUGCUCAGCACCAAUGCACAUUUCAGGGGUUUUACUUUGCAAUAGCUUUGGUCUGAACAUACGGGUUGGAGCACACCUUCCUGUCUAAUUUUCUCCCAAGGGAAUCCAGGUCACGUGCUCUGAGAUGACUCUAAAAUGAACCAAAGCACAGUACCUGGGGACAAUCAAUUUGGCUCAUUUCUGAGCCAAACUAAAAUGCUAACACAGACAUGCACUUGGCCAGUUAGAGUGCUCUUUGCAGGAACGAUCUCUCUGAAGGAAGUUUUGCAGGAGACCUUUGCAUAAACAAGCGGGGAUCAAGCCAGGUUUUCUCUUUUUGCAGUCCGGUAUCCUAAUCACAAGCUAGAGUGUCACUGGUGUGUGUUUCUUUCUCUGUUGCUAAGAGACACUAAUUCUUUUCACAAUUUCAACAGAAAGAGUGGAGGCAGUAGUUCCUUACAAACCCCUAAUCUGGCAAUCAGAUUAUCUUUUCGUAGGUGAGCUAAGUAGGUUAAAUCUCUUCAGAGCCUCUAAACUGUCUCUCUCAUCCUGAAAGCUAUUAACACGUUGGCACUGUGUCUGCUUCCCUGCAGUCUUAUGUCAAAAUGGCUAAAUGUUACACGUCUCUGCCUUGCUUUGCUAUAUUCACAUGUCUAAAAUAGAAAGUCCCCGAUCAUCAUAUUGGCUCUUAGGAACACUUAACCCUCUCCAUAUACUAUGGAGGAAGCUCAGCCCCUUCUCAGAGAGAACCAGCCACGACAAUGCUCAGUUGUGGACCAGUACCUUAAUUCCUGCAAACAGUAAAAGCAGCUAUCCCAUCAGCGGGUCUUAACUGUCAUCCUUAUUCCAAAAGGUCAGUCAGUCAUCCAAAACUCAGGUUUAUAACCACUAUUAAAAAUAGCAAAGUAUUUUCAAGCUGACUGACUAUAAAAAUGUACUAAAGGAAUUCUUCAGGUUUACCUGUGGCACAUUCCAAGGAAUUGGAGUUUCAAGUCCUUAACAGUAAAGUUUACUUUUUUGCUUUAUAUCAUUCUACUUCAUGUUGGAGACCAUACUGAAAACCAAAAUAAUUUUGAUAACCUGUCUCCUAAAACCUAGUGAAACAAAAGCCACAUUACAAAGCUAACAGUUUUACAUAUAAACUGAAAACCUGACUGACUUUAAAUAAAGUUUUAAAUAAGGCAUGGCCAGACUUGACUAGGUUCUUUCAAAGAAAAUACUUUUGACAGAAAAUCAAAGGAGAGCAAAGUUAGCUGAGGCAUUUCUGUUCUACUUUAUUUCUGGUUUUAUAUGGCUGAGCAUCAAACUGAUUAGAGGGUUUUUGUGUUUUCUUUACAAUCACUACUGAAAUACAGGAUGCAAAAUACAACUUUUUCAGAGGGCAGGGGAGAGAGGAGUCUUCUUUCAGCAACUGAAACUUUAAAAAAGUGUGUCAAAACUAGAUAUUAGAAACUUGUACGUUUUCCUUUCACUUCUGUUAUGAAGGAGCAGAUUCUUUGUUUCAAAUCAGAAAGAAACCCAGAAUACUUCAUAACUGAGAUUCUAUCAAAAGAAAAAUAUUUCAAAACAGUAUUUUAAUUGUUGUGUGUCAAACUAGGAGGAUUAACAUAUUAAGGAAAUCAUAGAAGUAGAGCAGAAAAGCAUGAAAAUGCUUUGGAUGGGGCUUUGAGCAGCCUGCUGUAGCGGGAGGUGUCCCUGCUGAUGGCAGGGGGGUUGGAACUCUGUGAUCUUUGAGGUCCCUUCCAACCCAAACCAUCCUGUGAUGCUACGAAUGCUGCCAUUAACACCCUAAGAAGGUAUUUUCUUUCAUUAAUCAUACAUUGCAUCCCUCAGUCCAGCAUCUUGGUACUCAAACCGAUACGACUCUAUUAUAAAAUCUCAGGGGUUUCAUUGAUUAUUUACCACUAAACUUGCUAUAUAAACACAGUCAUUGGAAGUUAGUGAUUCCACAGGGAAUUAUUCUGAAGAAUACCUGGAAAAAUAAGGUUAGCGCAUUUUCUUCUCAUCUGAAAGAGUCAGUAUUACCCAGUAUGCAUACUGCUCCAUAAACUACUAUGUUACCACUGCCUAAUGUAGUAGUGCUGACACAACUGCAGCUGUGAGUUGUACUGUAAGCAUCUAGGUAUGUACUAAUUACUCCUAUAAAUAUACAUGAUUUCAGAAGCGAUAAGAGUUCCAUGACAGUAGACUAGCACAAUAUACUUAAUUUCACAGAGUUUUUUGUGAAGCAUGGAAGAGAAUCCAGAGGAGCUGGCAUUUUACAGUGGCCAUUACAAAUAAUGGAGCUGCAAAACCUUUCACAACAAUCUUAGUGCACAUGGGUAUUACAAGGCAGGAUACAUGAAGUAAGAAAGGAAUGUUUUUAGGAAACAAUUGCAAUUGCAACAGAAUUGCACUGCCAUUAAGACAGAAGUUGCUACAACAGGCAGAGUCCUCCUGUUUCUCAUACCUUUACAACUUUUCAUUUAUUUCAUGCUCUUUAAAUGUUUUUUAAAUCCAUUUUUGUGUUUCCAACCACUUGUGCUUCAAGAAAAGUUUUGCAUUUGUGUUUGUAGUUUUGAGCUUGUAUGCUGUAAGACUCCGACCAAGCCUUAGAUGGGUGGGUUUUAACUCCCAUGCUGUACUCCACAGCGCGGCACCCCACCCGUUGGCUGUACACAAAAGGCGGUUUUAAAUUGACGGGCGAGUUAACCUUCCAGACCUCAGUCUGGAGCAUGUGUAAUUAUGCUAAGUCAUUGUUAGAAGUUAUUUUAAAAGGAAAUGUUGCCUGCCUUCUGAGGUUUUUCUACAUACAUAUAGUUUGGGCAUGUCAGCCUUUCUUUAAAACUACAGCAUUGCUCUUGAUAAAAUAAGCAGCUCUAGCACUUUAAAGGACAGAAAAUAAGAGAAGGAGCUAGGCUUUUCCAAGUUUAUUCUCCACCUUGCCACUUUGUAUACAGCUUAGGUUAUCCUGGGUCUCGUUAUUUAAAUUUGUAAGAUUAAGCUUUCAGUUUUUAAACCUGGGCAGCUGUUGCAGUGAUUGUUUACAUGAAAAUGUAAGUUCUUCUGUAAACUGUUGAAUCUGAGAUACCAGAGAGUUUUACACAUUUUUCUUUGUUACCUUUUAGAGAUAGGAGGAGUGUGCUGGUUUAACUGAGCACAGAACCUAACCUGUAGUAAAUAUCGUUUACACUUUAUUUGUAUUUUCUCAAGACUAAAGUUACUUUGGUUGUCAGUUGAAACAUCUAAUAUUGAACUUAUUGCCAUUCCUUCCUUUUCUCAAAGGCUCUCCCAAAUUAUUACCUCUAACAAAUAUUUUAAUGAAUAAACCACCAAAAAAGUUUGUCUUUAUUAAACCUUAUUUUUACUAUAAAAAUAUGAGCCACUUCAAACAUGCAUAGUCCCAUCCUACUCUAAGUCAGUCAGUUUUAAACCCUACCCUAAUCAGGCUGUCCCAUCUCUGCUUCUAGUGCCUACUCUUGAUGGAACUUUUUUCUGGCCACAGGCCCCUUACAAGAUGUUCUGUUAACAGAACAGGAAGUUCCUUAUCUUCUAAAAUUGUGUGACUCCAAAUUUAAUUAUAUGCUUUAAGUGGAUAGAAAAUAUGCCUUGCUCAAAGAGAAAUUACUUGGGCUGGUACAAGAAAUUUCAGGGCCUAUGGAAUACAAGUCAGAUGAGAUGAUCUGACCUUCAGGUCUUUGAAUAAACGACAAGUGAUUUAAGAAGCUGAAGAAGAAAAUGUGAUGGGCAGAGGCCAGAACCAAGUGAUGAAAAACAAAACUCAAAGACCCUAAAAAUCCCUACCAGUAAACAGUUACACUUGUUUCAAUGGCAACCCUUCUCUAAGGGAUUGUGCUGCUCAGUGUUCUCACAGAAGUUCCUAAGGCCAGUAUUUCAAGUAAAAUUAGGACUGCUGCAGCUCCUCCUCUUCCUUCAACUUGCAGUCAUAAUGAUCAUAAAAGGACCCACCUAAUCCCAAUCCUUCCAGUCGCAGGAUAAUCAGCUAAUUAUGCACAUUACAGAAAACUGAAGGGGGAAUGCAGUAUAUGUGCUAUGGUACAAAAUACUUCUUUCUUUAUAUGACGAAGUGAUCAUUUAGUGGUUAUGUUAUUUAGUGCUUACUUUCUGUCCAAAGGAAGAUGCAUUCCUUUCCUUAGGAUCCAGGCUGAAGUCAUUACAGAGAAUCAACUGCUCUGCUUUACGUUUUAAUUCUACUUCAUUGCAUGCAUAUGCAAAACAUGUUUGCACACAUCCAUAGGCAAACUAUCUGUUGCUUCAACAAAAAUUAAUAAAUGAAAAUGCUACUUGAUUGAAGUGAAGAAAGUGAACCUUCAGCAGCAUCUCAGCACACAAUUAUCCUCGAACACCCAUGCAUUUGAAAAAGUGAUGGACAGUACUGACUUUUUCCUUUUAAAAUAAAUAUUAUACAGGUGGUUUUUUUGGUGGUUGUCAGAAAGCACAAAUUAAACAAAAAUUCAGUAUGAUAUUUUACAGAAUAAAUAUUAAUUAGAAUUGCUUAUGUAAUUAAGUUUGGGUAUACCUUGCCUUGACCCUCCGUUCUAAAUAAGGUUUGGACACAAGCAAAGAUUAUCUGUUCCUGGCAAAUCCUUCCUAGGGAUUACAUGGUCCAUAAACUAAUAAGGGUUUAUCUUUUCCUCUUUCUGAGAACAGAAAUAACUACAGCAACAUGAAAACAUUAACAUGGCAUUAAAGAGUUCCAAACAAUUAGGAAACUAAAAGGUUAGUAUUCUCACAGCAAUAGCAAAUCACCAUUACGUUCAAGUAUGUAGAUCUUAUGUGCAGACCACACAUAAAAUUCAGAGUACUCCAUGUAUGGAGUACUGUUCUGCUCUGUGAAGUAAAAGUGUCAAGUAUGCAUAAACUCUUUAUUUUAAAAGAUAAUCUGAAUAUGGUCAACAUAAAAUUUUGUAUGCAGCACCAUAUUAUUCCUAUUUUUUGGGGUGCCAUAGUCACAAAACAAAGCUAGACAAAAUAUCUACCAUGCAGCAUAAUUUAGAUGAGAAUACUGAUGGUGAAAUAACUGAGUUUAUUUAUAACUAAUAUAUAAAAAAUUAGAAUGCACUAAGUUUUACUCUAUAAAAAGGUACAAAUACGUUUAGUACUUGCCAUCUGAAAGAGCUUCAUGAUCACUGUAAAAUGGCUAUUUGAGAAUCUGUCUGUUUAUUUGUGCGAGCUCUGAAAGGGUAAUGAGUGAAAGCUGUAACGUAAAUUUGAAACUGGGAAGUUACCAAAGGUGGCCUCAGAGGAAUGAACUGCUUUGUGACUAGUCAUCUUUUGACUGCUGAUCCUUGAGAUCACCUGUGACUUGAUGCUACAUAUAUUUUAGGAUAAGUGCUUUAAAGAAUUUAAAUCCAUUUAGCAAGAUUUACGUAUCUAACAGUUGAAGAGGAAACUAUUCUUUUUAAAGCUUUACUAUGACUGAGUUCUUGCUCCCAUGUUUUCUUGCUGUCUUGCACAUCGUGACGCCAGGUGGCAAGGCCCGGUACACACAGUACAGCAAACUGCCUUACUCUGUGUGGUAAAUACAAGGAGGAUAAUGGUUCCAUCACUGCUAGUACAAAUUGGGUCGUUUAUAGCAUUUGGUGUAUUAAUUUUAUGAUGGCAACUCAUAUGCAGUUGAAACUUAUAAAAACUUUAUACAUAGGAACAAGAUUCUUCAUACAUUUUUUUUUAAAGCAUAGAGGCCCUCCAUGUAUUUAGGAUUGUGUGAGCUUUAUUAGUUACAGGACCUGCAGACAAGAGUUCUUCUAGGUGGCUGUCUAUGAAAUUCAGUAAACACAUUAUCACCAUGAGGAAUUUGUGUAUUUUUUUAAAAAACCAAGGAAGCAAUUUAUGUGUUUGGAUCAGUCAUAUUCCUUGUAUUAAAACAAAACCAAAAAGAACAAUCAAAGCUUGAGACUGCCAAACCCACUGGUGUCCUAGUUUUCAGUUUGUACAGUGGAAAUUAUGCAGCGUUUCUGUAUGUCUUUGAAGAUUCACUGAACUCUGUAAACAGAAUUAAGAAUCAUCCUCUUCCCUGAGCACUGUCAUAUUUACAAGCUACUGGGACUUCACUUCAGCAGCUACCUUCAGACUCAACUGUUUUCUUAGCUUUUCCUGACAAUAAGUCUACAACUCUUUUGCUCUGAAGCGUCCUGAACGUGCCUUCUCUGGUCGAUAACUGAUCACUUUUAAGGAAAUACAAAAGCCUGUAGAAUCACAAAAUCUUUUCCAGUUUUAGGAAAAAGUAUUCUUAAGCCAAUGAUGGAUACUGCAAAGAAGCAUAAGCUUAAGUCUUUAUAAUUACUGGAUACAUAAAUUACUCUAAACUGUUUAUAUUAUAUAGUACCCAUGGCGUUUGUUGCCUUCCAAAUGCCGUGGAAAACAGGCCUGCAUAGAAGACUUAAUAACAUGUUCGUCAUGACAGACGGCCCACAUUUGAGAAUGCACUUAAACUCUUACCUUCUGUUGAGAUGGGAGUCCUUGCUUCUCACUGGAAAUCGAAAUAGCAGCUAGUGGCUAAACAAUAGCAGCUAAGCAAACAUUUUACUGAACAUAUUUAAAAUAUUUAAACCACUUACACUGUAUGCACGCUCCUCAGGAAAUGGCUAUUAUAUCUUUUGACUCACUAGUAUCUGUUUUAUUUCAGGUAUAGCAAAUCAUGAUGUUAGUGCUGACAGUUCUCUGGUUCACUUACUCCUCAUCCCAACCACACUGCAAAAGCUACGAGCAAAGAUGGGAGACAAUCUACCAACAAAGAUAACCACAGCCUGCUUGACAAGGGACACAUACUCAGUUCUUCAGCACUGUUGAGCCUCUUUUUGAUCCCACAUGUCUUUAAGAUACCAGAUUUCUGGUAUUCACUUCUUUCCUACUCAUAAAUGCUCUUGCUAAUGCCAACACUCCCCAUCCCUCAGUGCUUCCAGGGUUUUUUUGCCUCUCAACAAUACAUGCAGUAACUUCCCAGUUCCCAAAACAGUCUGGAUGCCAUUUCAGCUGUUUUAAAGACAGAUGGCUGUUGUGCUGAUUAGCCUGGAACAGAUAAGGGCUACAUUCUACCCGCCUUUCCUUUGAUGGCCACAUAACUUAGGGGGUUUAUCCUCUGCUAAGUGUCUAAUUGCCAUAAAACUCUUCACAGCCAAGGAGGCAGACAUCGGGAACAGAAAAAAUUAUGAAGGCAAGCUAUAUCGCAAGCAGGCCAGGCCAAUACGGUGUUGCACUGUUGACAGGAUGGAAGAACAAAACAGUAGGAGUUUUUACAUCCCCAACAACAUGAGCUGAAGAAAACAUCAGUAAACAGAAGCACUGGUUGUGAAAAGGAACUAAGAGAAGAUGGAAGGACAUGAAAGAGCAGAAAGCCAGCCAAAUCUCUAAAAAUGGGAACAGAGGCACUGAGCGUUUCCAAACAAGUACUUGAAUUCAAGUAAGGCUGAUUGUUUUUUUUAAUGAAGACAGUGAUAAAGAAGUUGCUUGUGUACUUGGACAUUCAAUAUCUGAAGGAGCAUACACGGUGUAAGGGAUGUGUUCCAGGCCAAACCUGUGUCCCAAUCCAAUGUUUAAGAAAAUGUGGGGUAACCUGGGGACGUUUGCCAAGUAUAGCAAUCAAGUAAAUACAGUCAGUUGACUUACUGUUGGGAAGCGGCUCUUCAGUUCUAAUUAUUCUGAUACCUUCACAGUGUGUUUGCUUUCUUUAUGUCUGAGCAGGAGUCAGUGACACAGAAGAACCCAGCUGGGACUUAAGCUGGAUGCAGAACGCCAAGGUGCAGUUUCCCAGCUCUGCUACAGCCAUCCUGUAACAACACCUUAAGCAAAUCACCCUGCCUUUAUUCCCACCCCUAACAGUGGGAAAAUAAUUUGUUUCACCAUUCUUUAUUAGGUCAUUACUUCAGCAGCACAGCAAAACACAUCAUAUAGCUUAAUUGUCACAUGUUUAAUUUGUGUCCCAAAUUUGUAGGACUUCUUUUAGAUCCCUUCAGACCCUAGUACUUCUAUACUCAUCAUUAUUACUACAGAUCUUCAUAACAGCUAAAUGUGGUGUAUAUAUAAAUUUGACCAAGGUAGGUGGUCAAUGCUUUUUCAUUUCUCAGUAAAAAUAACUGCUUUACUAAAUAAAAACUGUUAGUGGAACAAAUUCUUCUGUUAAUACAAAAAAAAACCAGCUUUGCAGCUGUUUAGUCAGCAGUAAAUUAACUGUUAAACUGCUUGCAAAAUCCUUCACUUGCUCACAGUGAAGUGGAUAACUUGCACUUACAUUAACCAUGUUUCAAACCAUUCUAGCCCCUUCCAUCAACAUUCUAACAUUUUGGAUUAAUAUACUCACCAUCUUCCUGCAUGUAAAGAAUCAUAGACACUGAAAAAUGAGGCUUUUACAACUAACUUAACAACUUUGCCCAUAAUGUUCUUAUGCUGUGAGACUGUUCCUCAGUACAGCUAUUAUGUCCCAAUUAUAUUAAUCUAUUCCUCAGAUUUAAAAGCAACUUAAUUAAAACAACCAUUAAGCACAUGUAACCUUGUUUGAGAAAGUAUAUUUGAACGGCAAAUGCUUCUCCCCACCCCUGCACAGCUCCAGCUGACAGAAAGAAUUAAUCAGUAAGAAGGAAAAUGCCAUUUGUCACAUGUGACUUAUAACACUUACCAAAUGCUUCAGAGAAAAGGAAAGGAACAAUACAGAAAGCAAAUAUGACAGGUCUACACUGCUGCAUAAGCUUUCAUUUACAAAUGUAAAGGAACUUUGAAAUAGCAUUUCUAAAAAAAUCACUCUAUCAUUGUAAUCCAUAUUAACUUCCAGUCUGUUGCUGGUAUAUUUUCUUAGCCAUAUGCCGUGACAACUAACUGGACAACCUAAAUUCCCGCCCAGUAAAAGUAUUCCCUUGCAAUAGAUUUCUCCCCCCCAGCCCCAAUUUCACUAGACGUUCUGCUUUGAACUUUUACUACAGCUAGUAAGAAAUGCAACUCCUGACUUGCAUUCCUUACUUCAUCACCUCAUAUAGUUUUUGUCACUUCACAGCUGUGCUUUCUGAUAGAAGCAGCUGUAGCCUAAACAUUUUGGUCUUGCUUGAUUUUUCAAUGGUUUUAAGAUUACUUUCCUUCCUUCAGAGAAAAAGCUAUCAACUGCACUAAUCCAACAUCCAGUGCACCAAGGCAUUGCAUCAGUCAGUCUUCUGAAGAACAAACAUGAAAUGUAAUUCCUGUUGCUCCCCUGGAUACUGUUUUCAUUGUCAUAUCCAAUGGUAUGCUGGAUGGGAUACUGUUCAACUGGAAGUUUCACUAAACAGUUGUUGAACACUAUUAAAACAUUCUAAUAGGUGUGA
This is a long non-coding RNA of Falco peregrinus (peregrine falcon), 11978 nucleotides long. RefSeq lists it as uncharacterized. The record is from RefSeq and is a predicted model, not a curated record. The transcript has 2 exons. NCBI's taxonomy places the organism in Eukaryota, Metazoa, Chordata, Aves, Falconiformes, Falconidae.